Molecule: transfer RNA, 73 nt
Filed under: Canis lupus familiaris (dog)
Lineage: Eukaryota; Metazoa; Chordata; Mammalia; Carnivora; Canidae
Also listed under: 1 other name
Rfam family: tRNA
About the family: Transfer RNA (tRNA) molecules are approximately 80 nucleotides in length. Their secondary structure includes four short double-helical elements and three loops (D, anti-codon, and T loops).
Source: Rfam by way of RNAcentral
GCCUGGCUGGCUCAGUCAGUGGAGCAUGUGACUCUUGCUCUUGAGGUUGUGAGUUCAAGCCCCACGUUGGGUG